RNAcentral lists this ribosomal RNA (450 nucleotides) under uncultured Glomeromycotina. Its description in RNAcentral is "SSU rRNA". It matches the Rfam family "Eukaryotic small subunit ribosomal RNA", at positions 569 to 1024 of the family's 1831-position model. The record is from RNAcentral. Lineage: Eukaryota; Fungi; Glomeromycota.
AGCAGCCGCGGUAAUUCCAGCUCCAAUAGCGUAUAUUAAAGUUGCUGCAGUUAAAAAGCUCGUAGUUGAAUUUCGGGACCAUCAUGUUGGUCGUGCCUAGGUACGUACUGGCAUUGUUGGUUUCUUCCUUCUGACGAACCAUGAUGUCAUUUAUUUGGUGUCGUGGGAAAUCAGGACUGUUACUUUGAAAAAAUUAGAGUGUUUAAAGCAGGCUCACGCUUGAAUACAUUAGCAUGGAAUAAUGAAAUAGGACGUUUGAUUCUAUUUUGUUGGUUUCUAGGAUCGACGUAAUGAUUAAUAGGGAUAGUUGGGGGCAUUAGUAUUCAAUUGUCAGAGGUGAAAUUCUUGGAUUUAUUGAAGACUAACUACUGCGAAAGCAUUUGCCAAGGAUGUUUUCAUUAAUCAAGAACGAAAGUUAGGGGAUCGAAGACGAUCAGAUACCGUCGUAGU